Long non-coding RNA from Heterocephalus glaber (naked mole-rat), 343 nucleotides. NCBI's taxonomy places the organism in Eukaryota, Metazoa, Chordata, Mammalia, Rodentia, Bathyergidae. The record is from Ensembl.
CUGGUGACUAGUGGCACAUAGAAACCCACUCAGCUGUGAAGCUAGAUAAGUAGUGAAGGAAGUUAUGAAGCUGCACCGUGAGAACCGGCUUUCUCAAGUAGAACUUAAUUGGUAGUAAGAUUAUGCAGCUUCAUCCACCUCCACAUUCAUCCACCUUCCUCAACCUCCUCCACAACCUCCCCAAAGUGGCUUUGGAGGCCAAAGAUGCAAUGGAAUGAGUGAGAAACAGAAAAGCUCUGGUUUCAUGCUGAUGGGGAUAACAGCCCAAAAAGAAGAAAAAGAAAGAAAAUAAGAAAAGAAAAGAAUGAAAAUAAGAUUAUAAGUAUAAAAUCCAAAAUAACAG